Molecule: ribosomal RNA, 772 nt
Filed under: uncultured Neocallimastigales
Lineage: Eukaryota; Fungi; Neocallimastigomycota; Neocallimastigomycetes; Neocallimastigales
Description: partial large subunit ribosomal RNA
Rfam family: Eukaryotic large subunit ribosomal RNA
Source: RNAcentral
UACGACUACAUAUCAGGCAUAUCAAUAAGCGGAGGAAAAGAAACUAACAAGGAUUCCCCUAGUAACGGCGAGUGAAGCGGGAAGAGCUCAAAUUUGAAAUCUUAAAGGGUUUCCCUUUACGAAUUGUAGUUUAAAGAAGUGUUUUCGGUUAGAGGAGUAGUAAAAGUUCUUUGGAAUAGGACAUCAUAGAGGGUGAGAAUCCCGUAUUUGACCAUUAUUUCCAGCUUUGUGAUACACUUUCAAAGAGUCGGAUUGUUUGGGAAUGCAGUCCGAAAUGGGUGGUAAAUUUCAUCUAAAGCUAAAUAUUGGCGAGAGACCGAUAGCGAACAAGUACCGUGAGGGAAAGAUGAAAAGAACUUUGAAAAGAGAGUUAAACAGUACGUGAAAUUGUCAAAAGGGAAGCGUUUGACACCAGUGUUGUUUCUACGAAAAUCAAUUUAUGAUGGCUUGAUGCUAAGCUUUAAGACUUUAUCCGCUUGUUGUUUAGUUUUCUUGUCUUUGUGAAUGCACUUUCGUGGAACAAGUCAACAUCAAUUUCUUUUGCUGUAAAAGGGUAAGAGGAAGGUGGCUUCGGCUUCGGUUGAAGUGUUUAUAGCCUUUUAUCUCUGCAGUCGGAGAGAUUGAGGUCUGCAGCGUAGACUCUUCGGGGUUAGAUACGUCGGUGCUAAGCUAUAGCUUUUCAUAGACAACUUGUUGACUAUGUUUAGUCAUGUGGCUUACCCGCUGGCGCUAUUUUACCUACGCUUAGGAUGUUGACACACGCGCGUGCUCG